RNAcentral lists this ribosomal RNA (652 nucleotides) under Xylanimonas sp. Its description in RNAcentral is "bacterial SSU rRNA". It matches the Rfam family "Bacterial small subunit ribosomal RNA", at positions 191 to 853 of the family's 1533-position model. Lineage: Bacteria; Bacillati; Actinomycetota; Actinomycetes; Micrococcales; Promicromonosporaceae. The record is from RNAcentral.
GCAUGGCAGGGGUUGGAAAGUUUUUCGGUGGGGGAUGGGCUCGCGGCCUAUCAGCUUGUUGGUGGGGUGAUGGCCUACCAAGGCGUCGACGGGUAGCCGGCCUGAGAGGGCGACCGGCCACACUGGGACUGAGACACGGCCCAGACUCCUACGGGAGGCAGCAGUGGGGAAUAUUGCACAAUGGGCGAAAGCCUGAUGCAGCGACGCCGCGUGAGGGAUGACGGCCUUCGGGUUGUAAACCUCUUUCAGCAGGGAAGAAGCGCAAGUGACGGUACCUGCAGAAGAAGCGCCGGCUAACUACGUGCCAGCAGCCGCGGUAAUACGUAGGGCGCAAGCGUUGUCCGGAAUUAUUGGGCGUAAAGAGCUCGUAGGCGGUCUGUCGCGUCUGGUGUGAAAUCCCGAGGCUCAACCUCGGGCUUGCAUCGGGUACGGGCAGACUAGAGUGCGGUAGGGGAGACUGGAAUUCCUGGUGUAGCGGUGGAAUGCGCAGAUAUCAGGAGGAACACCGAUGGCGAAGGCAGGUCUCUGGGCCGCAACUGACGCUGAGGAGCGAAAGCAUGGGGAGCGAACAGGAUUAGAUACCCUGGUAGUCCAUGCCGUAAACGUUGGGCACUAGGUGUGGGGCUCAUUCCACGAGUUCCGUGCCGCAGCU